This 433-nucleotide ribosomal RNA is filed under the name uncultured bacterium. Its description in RNAcentral is "partial 16S ribosomal RNA". It matches the Rfam family "Bacterial small subunit ribosomal RNA", at positions 29 to 507 of the family's 1533-position model. The record is from RNAcentral.
AACGAACGCUGGCGGCAUGCCUAACACAUGCAAGUCGAACGAGACCUUCGGGUCUAGUGGCGCACGGGUGCGUAACGCGUGGGAACCUGCCCUUAGGUUCGGAAUAACUCCCCGAAAGGGGUGCUAAUACCGGAUAAUGUCUUCGGACCAAAGAUUUAUCGCCUUUGGAUGGGCCCGCGUUGGAUUAGCUAGUUGGUAGGGUAAAAGCCUACCAAGGCGACGAUCCAUAGCUGGUCUGAGAGGAUGAUCAGCCACACUGGGACUGAGACACGGCCCAGACUCCUACGGGAGGCAGCAGUGGGGAAUAUUGGACAAUGGGCGAAAGCCUAAUCCAGCAAUGCCGCGUAAGUGAUGAAGGCCUUAGGGUUGUAAAGCUCUUUUACCCGGGAUGAUAAUGACAGUACCGGGAGAAUAAGCACCGGCUAACUCCGUG